Long non-coding RNA from Phyllostomus hastatus (greater spear-nosed bat), 596 nucleotides. RefSeq lists it as uncharacterized. The transcript has 3 exons. NCBI's taxonomy places the organism in Eukaryota, Metazoa, Chordata, Mammalia, Chiroptera, Phyllostomidae. The record is from RefSeq and is a predicted model, not a curated record.
GGACAAUCUUGGAGGGAGGGCGACCCGGGCGCGAGGAGGCGCUGUGCAGACUGAAGAACGGCGUCUGAGGCGAAAGUGGAGGCUCCCUGGUGGCAUGUGGCACUGGAGAGAAGCCGGCCACUCUGUCGGAGAAUGUUGGAGGACUACCUAGCCCGUGGUCAAAGGGUGGAGGAGGAAGCCACAGAAAGGAUUUGAGCAGGAGACGUCACUUUUCGGGUUUGCGUCUGAAGCAAGAUCACUCUGGCUCCUAUUUGGAGGACUGGAUCGGAGUGGGAGACUAAAAACUGUAAAAGUUGUUCAAGUGAGUGUCAACCAUGAAACAAGUAGUAAUUGGAAAAAGGAAAAAGGUCUCAAGUGAGAUUUAGUGGGGCACUGAAGAUGGAGAAAAUUGGAAUAAAAUGGAGUUAAUUCUUUUUUUAAACUUAAAAUUUAACUUGCUGUAAAAUGUAUGUAAUUAAUUGUCCAUUUUUAAGUUUGUGGUUCAGUGGCACAGUGAAGUAUAUUCACUUUGCUCUGCAGUCACCCCAACCAUCCUUUUCCAGAAUAUUUGUCUUGCAAAACCGAAACUUUGUACCCAUUGACCUCCUUACCCCUAG